UUUAUUGAAGCUAGAAAAAAAAAAUUACACCACUGGAUUCAGUACUCCAAAUCGUUUUGUCAGACAUGAAUAGUUUUUAUGAUAUAAAUAUAAUUAAAAAAGUAUACAAUGAAACAUACUGACCUUGCAAUGAUUUUCUAGAUAACACCUGAUUAACAGACUUUAGCCAACCCGAUUAACAGACCAACCGGCGAUAUAGCCGC
This 203-nucleotide long non-coding RNA is filed under the name Mytilus galloprovincialis (Mediterranean mussel). The record is from RNAcentral. Lineage: Eukaryota; Metazoa; Mollusca; Bivalvia; Mytilida; Mytilidae.